Molecule: long non-coding RNA, 1065 nt
Organism: Capsicum annuum
Lineage: Eukaryota; Viridiplantae; Streptophyta; Magnoliopsida; Solanales; Solanaceae
Exons: 4
Source: RefSeq, a predicted model, not a curated record
CAAUUUCUGUGAAAGAUGCCACUGAGUCAUUCAAUCUGUGGCACUUGUAUCGAGGUCACAAAUACACAAAUAGAGAGAGAUAAAGAGAUGCUUCACUCACCAAAUGUAAACAGAAACACUCAUAUUAUACUUGUAGUACUAGUAUACUUUAGUUAGUUGGUACAUGAACAAUCAAGAAUAUAAAACACAUUAAUGUUUUUUUUGUGUGUGUUUAUAUGAACAAUCAAGAAUUAAAAACACAUUAGUAUGUGUGUUUUUUUAUAGUAGGAGUAGUAGGCUUUAGUUAGGACAAGAACAAUCAAGAUUUUGAAAGACAUUAGUUUGUGUGUGUGUGUGUGUUUUUCUUGGUAUAAUCAAAGAAAGAAAGAAAAGGGGGAAAAAAUGGGCUCCUCAAAAACUCAUCAUUGUGUCUUCAAUCCCAAGCUAAAAAAGAAAGACAUGAUGUGAUUGCUCCCAUUACAUGUUUUUUUUUUUCUAACCCUCUCUCUCUUAUUAGUAGUGUAGCAAAAAGCUUCCAUCUUUCUGCAAUUUCAGUGAGGAAUCUUGAACUUACUGAGCUGAUUAGCAAAAUCCCAGUUGUUGGAUGAACUUCAGAGCAGAUUAGCAAAAUCCCAGUUUUGGGCAAUUCCAUUGAGGAAUCUUGAACUUCAGAGCUGAUUAGCAAAUCCCAGUUGUUGGAGUAGUUUUGGGCAAUUUCUCUGAGGAAUCUUUAACUUCAGAGCAGACUAACAAAACCCCAGGUGCUUUCUUCUCUCUCUCUCUGUCUCUCGACGAUCUUUUGAGAAAUGUUGUGAUGUUGCUCAAGUUUGAUCCAUUUUUGGGUUUUUAUUGGAGGUUGUUGGAGUAGUUAAGGAUUUCAACUUUAGUCAUUCAUAAUUUGCUAAAGUUUGACCCUUUUCUUCAUGGUGCAUACUUUUUAGUCUUGAAUGCAGUGGCGGAGCCAGAAUUUUCACCUAGGGGUUCACAAGUGAACAUAUAAACUAAUCGAAGGGGGUUCGACAUCUAAUAGAUAUACAUAAAAAAUAAUUUUAACCAUGUAUAUAUAGUAUAAUUUUCCGUCGAAGG